UUUAACACCUUAAGCUUACGUUAUACUUUAUCUGCUCUGCGGCCUCAUCUCAUCUCAACGCAAUCCCUUCCUCUUUCUUCUUAUCUUUCAUAUCUUAUAGAUUUCAAUACCUUAAAUAGUUUGCAAAUGGUAAAGUGAUGUGCAGAUCGGCUCCAUAUCAGAGUCAACAGCAGGUGCCAGUCUAUGGCCGAUCUGACUGCCGCUUGGAGCCAAUAUUUAGUUAAAGGGGUGAAGACCCAUGAAACUCACAGUUAUUUCAUGACACAAUAACCCCUUUACAAUUGUUUAUUGUCUUUUAAAUUCAUGGUCUAGCAUUUGAUGGUGUUGUUGAAGGGGGGCAUAGAGUCAGACACGGGUGUUUGUUUGUUUACAAUAGCAAUCCACCUUUUGCAUUGUGCCUAAACCAAAGCUACUUACACGAUUGGAGGGAGCCUUUGCCUUCUCCAUGCUUUCCUUCAAAUUUAAAGCAGCUAAAUUUUUAUUUUAGAUUUUAAUGAUUUUAACCAUGUAUUACUUCUGUUGUGAAAAAUAAUUUGAACCUAAUGCUGUCAUGCAUGGUGGAUUGGUUGAUGGGCUUUGCAAGGAAGUAUUUGAAAUAUCAUCGUUUACAAUAUUGUUAUCUACAGCUUUAGAAAUCGUUCCUUCCUUGUUUAAUGUACAGAUGCACACAUAUAACAAGGAAUGGAUGAUUUCUAAAGCUUUGGAUAGCUUUAUCAUGAUGAGGAAGCAAUGCACCGAGUUCAAUAUUGUCAUGUAUGGUGGAAAUAUUGCAAUUUAUAGUACUGUUAUCUACAGCUUUAGAAAUCAUCCCUUUUUUAGAUGUGUAAAUAUAUAAAUAAAUUGAAGCACAUUGCUAGAAAGGGAUGAUUUCUAAAGCUCUAGAUAACGUUAUUACAACGAGAAGCAAGGUCACCUAUAGUGGAUUGGUUAAUCCAUAUUGCAAGGAUGUUAUUGGCAAUAUUGUUAUCUACGGCUUCAGAAACCAUCCCUUCCUUGCUUAAUUUAUGGAAUCUGUAAUAUACAGAUUGACGCCCCUUGCAAGGAAGGAAUGGUUUCUGAAGCUUUAGGUAACUUUAUCACGACUUGAUGCACGUUGCAAGGCAGGUAUGGUCGUGGAUGAGAAAUCAUCGUCCCCUUUUGAUUUGGUUUAGCAACUUUUGUGUUCGUUGAUUGAAGAUUGCAGACUCAUUGUCUCCUUAGCAUAUUCAUGAAAUUUUGGCUUACAUUAUUUUGAUUUGUUUUUACCAAUUGUGUACAUUUAAUGUUGGAUUCUGUAAGUUUCAAUGUUGAAUUUCGUUAAAAACUUAAGUUUAUUUUCAA
Molecule: long non-coding RNA, 1320 nt
Organism: Gossypium raimondii (Peruvian cotton)
Lineage: Eukaryota; Viridiplantae; Streptophyta; Magnoliopsida; Malvales; Malvaceae
Exons: 2
Source: RefSeq, a predicted model, not a curated record